This 468-nucleotide ribosomal RNA is filed under the name uncultured bacterium. Its description in RNAcentral is "partial 16S ribosomal RNA". It matches the Rfam family "Bacterial small subunit ribosomal RNA", at positions 28 to 507 of the family's 1533-position model. The record is from RNAcentral.
GACGAACGCUGGCGGCGUGCUUAACACAUGCAAGUCGAACGGAAAGGCCCUGCUUUUGUGGGGUGCUCGAGUGGCGAACGGGUGAGUAACACGUGAGUAACCUGCCCUUGACUUUGGGAUAACUUCAGGAAACUGGGGCUAAUACCGGAUAGGAGCUCCUGCUGCAUGGUGGGGGUUGGAAAGUUUCGGCGGUUGGGGAUGGACUCGAGGCUUAUAAGCUUGUUGGUGGGGUAGUGGCUUACCAAGGCUUUGACGGGUAGCCGGCCUGAGAGGGUAACCGGCCACAUUGGGACGGAGAUACGGCCCAGACUCCUACGGGAGGCAGCAGUGGGGAAUAUUGCACAAUGGGCGGAAGCCUGAUGCAGCAACGCCGCGUGCGGGAUGACGGCCUUCGGGUUGUAAACCGCUUUCGCCUGUGACGAAGCGUGAGUGACGGUAAUGGGUAAAGAAGCACCGGCUAACUACGUG